Molecule: ribosomal RNA, 1442 nt
Filed under: uncultured cyanobacterium
Lineage: Bacteria; Bacillati; Cyanobacteriota
Description: 16S ribosomal RNA
Rfam family: Bacterial small subunit ribosomal RNA
Source: RNAcentral
AGAGUUUGAUCCUGGCUCAGGAUGAACGCUGGCGGCGUGCUUAACACAUGCAAGUCGAACGGACCUUUUCGGAGGUUAGUGGCGGACGGGUGAGUAACGCGUGAGGAUCUGCCCUUAGAUGGGGGACAACAGUUGGAAACGACUGCUAAUACCGCAUGAGCCGAGAGGUAAAAGAUAAAUUGUCUAGGGAUGAACUCGCGUCUGAUUAGCUAGUUGGUGAGGUAAAGGCUUACCAAGGCGACGAUCAGUAGCUGGUCUGAGAGGAUGAUCAGCCACACUGGGACUGAGACACGGCCCAGACUCCUACGGGAGGCAGCAGUGGGGAAUUUUCCGCAAUGGGCGAAAGCCUGACGGAGCAACGCCGCGUGAGGGAAGAAUGGUUGUGGGCAGUAAACCUCUUUUAAUAGGGAAGAAGUUCUGACGGUACCUAUUGAAUAAGCAUCGGCUAACUCCGUGCCAGCAGCCGCGGUAAUACGGAGGAUGCAAGCGUUAUCCGGAAUUAUUGGGCGUAAAGGGUCCGCAGGUGGUUAGUCAAGUCAGCUGUCAAAUACUCAGGCUUAACUUGGGGGUUGCAGUUGAAACUGAUUGACUAGAGUACGGAAGGGGUAGAGGGAAUUCCUAGUGUAGCGGUGAAUUGCGUAGAUUUUAGGAAGAACACCCAGGGGGGAGGGCGCUUAUCGACCGUACUGACAUGAGGGACGAAGCUAGGGGAGCGAAGGAUUAGAUACCCCGUAGUCCUAGCUUAAACGAUGGUACUAGGUUUGGACGUAUCGACCCGUCAGUAUCGUAGCUAACGCGUAAGUAUCCCGCCUGGGGAGUACGCACGCAAGUGUGAAACUCAAAGGAAUUGACGGGGGCCCGCACAAGCGGUGGAGUAUGUGGUUUAAUUCGAUGCAACGCGAAGAACCUUACCAGGGUUUGACAUCCUACGAAUUUUCCAGAGAUGGAUUAGUGCCUUCGGGAACGUAGAGACAGGUGGUGCAUGGCUGUCGUCAGCUCGUGUCGUGAGAUGUUGGGUUAAGUCCCGCAACGAGCGCAACCCACGUUUUUAGUUGCCAUCAUUAAGUUGGGCACUCUAGAGAGACUGCCGGUGACAAACCGGAGGAAGGUGUGGACGACGUCAAGUCAUCAUGCCCCUUACACCCUGGGCUACACACGUACUACAAUGCAACGGACAAAGGGCAGCCAGCUAGUGAUAGUGAGCAAAUCUCAUAAACCGUUGCACAGUUCAGAUUGUAGGCUGCAACUCGCCUACAUGAAGGAGGAAUCGCUAGUAAUCGCGGGUCAGCAUACUGCGGUGAAUACGUUCCCGGGCCUUGUACACACCGCCCGUCACACCAUGGAAGUUGGUUUCGCCCGAAGCCGUUACUCCAACCAUUCGUGGAGGAGGACGUCGAAGGCAGGGCUGAUGACUGGGGUGAAGUCGUAACAAGGUAGCCGUA